This 476-nucleotide ribosomal RNA is filed under the name uncultured bacterium. RNAcentral describes it as "partial 16S ribosomal RNA". It matches the Rfam family "Bacterial small subunit ribosomal RNA", at positions 30 to 507 of the family's 1533-position model. The record is from RNAcentral.
CGAACGCUGGCGGCGUGCUUACCACAUGCAAGUCGAACGGGAUUUAGUAGACAGAAGCCUCGGCUAAAGAUUACUAAUGAGAGUGGCGAACGGGUGAGUAACGCGUGAGCAACCUGCCUAUGACAGUGGGAUAGCCUCGGGAAACCGGGAUUAAUACCGCAUAAAAUCGUAGAAACACAUGUUUCAACGGUCAAAGAUUUAUCGGUCAUAGAUGGGCUCGCGUCUGAUUAGCUAGUUGGUGAGAUAACAGCCCACCAAGGCGACGAUCAGUAGCCGGUCAGAGAGAAGGAGGGCCAACAUGGGAAAUGAGACCCGCUCCAAACCCCUCCGGGAGGAAGAAGUGGGAAAUAUUGCAAAAGGGGGAAACCCCUGAGGGAGCGCCGCCGCGGAAAGAAAGAAGUUAUUCGUAUGAAAAAUUUCUCCCCUAUGGAAAGAUAAGAAAAGACCAAAAGAAGAAGCCCCGGGCAAAAUACGUC